RNAcentral lists this ribosomal RNA (288 nucleotides) under uncultured bacterium. RNAcentral's name for it is "partial 16S ribosomal RNA". It matches the Rfam family "Bacterial small subunit ribosomal RNA", at positions 773 to 1060 of the family's 1533-position model. The record is from RNAcentral.
GUGGAUUAGAUACCCUGGUAGUCCACGCCGUAAACGAUGUCUACUAGCCGUUGGGAUCCUUGAGGUCUUAGUGGCGCAGCUAACGCAAUAAGUAGACCGCCUGGGGAGUACGGUCGCAAGAUUAAAACUCAAAUGAAUUGACGGGGGCCCGCACAAGCGGUGGAGCAUGUGGUUUAAUUCGACGCAACGCGAAGAACCUUACCAGGUCUUGACAUCCAGAGAACUUUCCAGAGAUGGAUUGGUGCCUUCGGGAGCUCUGAGACAGGUGCUGCACGGUUGUCGUCAGCU